GACGAACGCUGGCGGCGUGCUUAACACAUGCAAGUCGAACGGAAAGGCCCUGCUUUUGUGGGGUGCUCGAGUGGCGAACGGGUGAGUAACACGUGAGUAACCUGCCCUUGACUUUGGGAUAACUUCAGGAAACUGGGGCUAAUACCGGAUAGGAGCUCCUGCUGCAUGGUGGGGGUUGGAAAGUUUCGGCGGUUGGGGAUGGACUCGCGGCUUAUCAGCUUGUUGGUGGGGUAGUGGCUUACCAAGGCUUUGAAGGGUAGCCGGCCUGAGAGGGGGACCGGCCACAUUGGGACUGAGAUACGGCCCAGACUCCUACGGGAGGCAGCAGUGGGGAAUAUUGCACAAUGGGCGGAAGCCUGAUGCAGCAACGCCGCGUGCGGGAUGACGGCCUUCGGGUUGUAAACCGCUUUCGCCUGUGACGAAGCGUGAGUGACGGUAAUGGGUAAAGAAGCACCGGCUAACUACGUG
This 468-nucleotide ribosomal RNA is filed under the name uncultured bacterium. RNAcentral's name for it is "partial 16S ribosomal RNA". It matches the Rfam family "Bacterial small subunit ribosomal RNA", at positions 28 to 507 of the family's 1533-position model. The record is from RNAcentral.